Long non-coding RNA from Planococcus citri (citrus mealybug), 1487 nucleotides. RefSeq lists it as uncharacterized. The transcript has 3 exons. Lineage: Eukaryota; Metazoa; Arthropoda; Insecta; Hemiptera; Pseudococcidae. The record is from RefSeq and is a predicted model, not a curated record.
UGUGUAUGUGGCAAUCGCGAUCUACACAGGCUGCGCCUACUCGUAGGUAUACUCGUUUCUUUUUUCUCUCUUUCUAUCGCCAUCUCGCCCCAAGUCUCACGCGGUCCUGGCUCCUGGAUCCGCGAGCGCGAUGUAACUAUAGGUAUAUGUAUAUCGAGCCAGCAUCGGCAGACUUUUACAUAGCCCGGGUACCUUUUGCUUUUGGAUUCGGCUGCUUUUUUUUCUCUUCUUCAUUUUUCCACAUUCUCUCCACGCCGCCGCGCCGCGUACGCAAAAACACGCCGAUCCCGCCGCGAUGUACUGUCGACGUGACAAGGGGUUCGCGCCAUGCUGCCUGCUUCGCCUGCCUGCCUUUUUUCGCUCCAAUUUUUUCCCAUUUUUCACUCGAUUCUGUGGCUCUUUUUCCAUCGCGUAUGUCGAUUUCGUCCGUCUCCGUCACUCUUCUGUUAUUUCCACACGUUUAUACAGCGUGCCUGCAUUUGCCACUUGCCAAUGCCAGCCCCAGUAGUACGUGGUGUCGAGUGUAAUUUCAUAGCUGAUGAGAAGUUAUGGCUCGUGUACGUUUCAAAAUUCAGCGAAGUCGUUUACGUCGUCGGGAUGCGGAUUUAUACGCGAAGGCGAUCGAUGCAUCGAUUAUGGUACUCCGCUCCUUCGAUCGGUAAUCUUCGGCUGAGAAGUUCGGAUCAAUGGGUCAUUAAAGAAAUAGCUCAGAUGUCUCAGGCAUGAUUCCAUCAAUCUCUGGCAAGUUCAUCUUCUGUAUACUGGAACUAAUAAAAAGAUUAUUUCAAGAACUGAUCAGUUGAUUAAUCUUGACAUGUUUUCUCGGACUGGUGCUUCAUCACGAAUGGUUCUCCAUCGUCAUCAGAUAUCACCGAAACGCAGAUGAACUCGUCGAGUAAUUCGAAUUCUUGUUCGCAAUACACGAAGGAAGAUCCGCAUCACGAGGUCUCCGAUCCAGUUCCGAAACUGUAAAUAGUUGUUCUCCAUCGUAAAGAAAUUCAAGACGAUCAGUCGCAGAAACAAUCAAACGGGAUUCGUUCAUCCAACAAAACCUAGACGACAAUGGAUGAUUUCAAUUCAAUCAAAAAUACAGACCGGUAGUAAAAUCACGAUCAUCGAUACAAGAUUUACUUCGAAGUUCGAAUAAGGAAAUCAAAAUGAAAAAUAUUCUCAAUUUAUUCAAACAAUUUAUUAUUACAUUACAAACGAAUCAAUUAAUUUAAAAAAAAAAAUCUCAAAGUAUAAAAUGAACACAUCAAUGAUGUUUUUUUCUUCUACGCCAGUAUAAUUGUAAACUAAAAUAAUCUAAAGUUUAGCUUUCGUUAAAGCAAACCGUGAUGUAUUUUCUUUCGUUUCGAAUUUUCUAUGCAGUAACAUUCCUACAAGAAAAAAAAAAGUAGAAAGAAAUCAACACAAAAUGUAAAAGAAUUGAAAAAAAAAACACGAGUAAAUAGUUUCAACUUUGUACUCACUAAGGAACUGAACAA